RNAcentral lists this ribosomal RNA (277 nucleotides) under uncultured microorganism. Its description in RNAcentral is "partial 16S ribosomal RNA". It matches the Rfam family "Archaeal small subunit ribosomal RNA", at positions 330 to 611 of the family's 1478-position model. The record is from RNAcentral.
GUGCAGCAGGCGAGAAAACUUUACAAUGUGCGAAAGCACGAUAAGGGAACUCUGAGUGCCUCCUACGGAGGCUGUUCAGGUGCCUAAAACACACCUGAAGGAAGGGCUGGGUAAGACCGGUGCCAGUCGCCGCGGUAACACCGGCAGCCCAAGUGGUAGCCACUUUUAUUGGGUCUAAAGCGUCCGUAGCCGGCCAGGUAAGUUCCGUGGGAAAUUUGGCCCGCUUAACGGUCAAACUACCAGGGAAUACUGCCUGGCUUGGGACUGGGAGAGGGCA